Molecule: ribosomal RNA, 440 nt
Filed under: uncultured bacterium
Lineage: Bacteria
Description: partial 16S ribosomal RNA
Rfam family: Bacterial small subunit ribosomal RNA
Source: RNAcentral
CCUACGGGAGGCAGCAGUAGGGAAUAUUGCUCAAUGGGGGAAAGCCUGAAGCAGCAACGCCGCGUGGGGGUUGAAGGUUUUCGGAUUGUAAAACCCUUUUGUUAGAGAAGAUAAUGACGGUAUCUAACGAAUAACCACCGGCUAACUCCGUGCCAGCAACCCCGGUAAUACGGAGGGUGCAAGCGUUACUCGGAAUCACUGGGCGUAAAGAGCGCGUAGGCGGGAUAGCAAGUCAGAUGUGAAAUCCUAUGGCUUAACCAUAGAAGUGCAUUUGAAACUGGUAUUCUAGAGUAUGGGAGAGGUAGGUGGAAUUCUUGGUGUAGGGGUAAAAUCCGUAGAGAUCAAGAGGAAUACUCAUUGCGAAGGCGACCUGCUAGAACAUAACUGACGCUGAUGCGCGAAAGCGUGGGGAGCAAACAGGAUUAGAUACCCGAGUAGUC